GGUUGUGGCUCAGUGGUAGAGCACUUGCCUAGCACGUGUGAGGCACUGGGUUGGAUCCUCAGCACCA
RNAcentral lists this transfer RNA (67 nucleotides) under Marmota monax (woodchuck). Its description in RNAcentral is "tRNA.Ala". Lineage: Eukaryota; Metazoa; Chordata; Mammalia; Rodentia; Sciuridae. The record is from RNAcentral.